This 393-nucleotide unclassified non-coding RNA is filed under the name soil metagenome. RNAcentral's name for it is "partial contains 5.8S ribosomal RNA, internal transcribed spacer 2, and large subunit ribosomal RNA". The stretch from base 1 to 120 matches the Rfam family "5.8S ribosomal RNA", at positions 35 to 154 of the family's 154-position model. The record is from RNAcentral.
GAUGAAGAACGUAGCGAAAUGCGAUAAGUAAUGUGAAUUGCAGAAUUCAGUGAAUCAUCGAAUCUUUGAACGCACCUUGCGCCUUUUGGUAUUCCGAAAGGCACACCUGUUUGAGCGUCAUGAAUACCUCAAUCUCCAUCUUUUCUUCGGAUUGAUGGGUGACUUGGAUGUUGAGCCCUGCUGGUAUGCUAUAUCAGCUGGCUUUAAACUUAUUAGCCGGCUCUGUACUGGAUCGGUUUGACUCGACGUGAUAAUAUUAUCGUUGAGGAUGCAUGUCUCAUGCAGCAGGAAAGUAUCAAAGCAGCUUCUAGCUUGCCUUUAGUGCACUUUUACAUUUUAGACCUCAGAUCAGGUGGGACUACCCGCUGAACUUAAGCAUAUCAUAACGGAGGA